GAGGAGUGCGGGAGCGCGCCAGAGACUGGCGGGCAGCUCCGCCCGCGGCCGGGAUGCACUAGGCAAAGCCAGCUGGGCUCCUGAGUCCGGUGGGUACUUGGAGAACUUAUUACGUCUAGCUGGAGGAUUGUAAAUGCACCAAUCAGCAUGCUGUGUCUAGCUCAAGAUUUUCUCCAUCCCCUUAUUUUGGGCCAGUGGCUGUCAUUACAUAUGAGAUGAGUCUCUUGAAGACUACAGAUGAGAGCAGUCAUGAUGGCCUGCACUCCACACAAUGCAACAGAGUGAAGGAGCAGGUUCUGGUUCUUUGGUGUAGUCCUGAAGCUUCCUAAGAAAGUUCACAUCAGGUGAUGGAUAGGAGCAACCCUGUAAAACCAGCCUUAGACUAUUUUUCAAACAGGCUGGUGAAUUACCAGAUCUCCGUCAAGUGCAGUAACCAGUUCAAGUUGGAAGUGUGUCUUUUGAAUGCAGAAAACAAAGUCGUGGACAACCAGGCUGGGACCCAGGGCCAGCUGAAGGUGCUGGGUGCCAACCUCUGGUGGCCGUACCUGAUGCACGAACACCCCGCCUACCUGUACUCGUGGGAGGAUGGUGAUUGCUCACACCAAAGCCUUGGACCCCUCCCAGCCUGUGACCUUUGUGACCAACUCCACCUACGCAGCAGACAAGGGGGCUCUGUAUGUGGAUGUGAUCCGUGUGAACAGCUACUACUCUUGGUAUCGCAACUACGGGCACCUGGAGUUGAUUCAGCUGCAGCUGCCCGCCCAGUUUGAGAAUUGGUGUAAGACAUCACAAUCCCAUUAUUCAGAGCGCGUAUGGAGUGGAAACGCUUAUAGGGUUUCACCAGGAUCCACCUCUGAUGUUCAGUGAAGAGUACCAGAAAAGUCUGCUAGAGCAGUACCAUCUGGGUCUGGAUCAAAAACGCAGAAAAUACGUGGUUGGAGAGCUCAUCUGGAAUUUUGCCGAUUUCAUGACUAACCAGUUUCUGCAGGCUGGAAAUCCAAGAUGAAGUCACCUAUAGUUCAGUGUCUGCGUCUAAGAGAGCACUUUGUUGCUGCACCCGCCAUGGGGAAGAAAUACUGUAUCUUCUCAUGAAGGAAGGAACCGAAGGUUUACAAGUAUUGUGGCUGAAGGCUGUGUCUAUUCCUGCUUCCUCCACCUCACCUUGCAAAAGUGUUUAUCCAAAUAAAUCCCUCACACAUCUAA
This is a long non-coding RNA of Homo sapiens (human), 1203 nucleotides long. Ensembl annotates it as GUSB pseudogene 2. Its record names the gene GUSBP2. The record is from Ensembl. Lineage: Eukaryota; Metazoa; Chordata; Mammalia; Primates; Hominidae.